ACUCCUACGGGAGGCAGCAGUGGGGAAUUUUGGACAAUGGGGGCAACCCUGAUCCAGCCAUGCCGCGUGAGUGAAGAAGGCCUUCGGGUUGUAAAGCUCUUUCGGCGGGGAAGAAAUGGCAACGGCUAAUAUCCGUUGUUGAUGACGGUACCCGCAUAAGAAGCACCGGCUAACUACGUGCCAGCAGCCGCGGUAAUACGUAGGGUGCGAGCGUUAAUCGGAAUUACUGGGCGUAAAGCGUGCGCAGGCGGUUUCGUAAGACAGACGUGAAAUCCCCGGGCUCAACCUGGGAACUGCGUUUGUGACUGCGAGGCUAGAGUACGGCAGAGGGGGGUAGAAUUCCACGUGUAGCAGUGAAAUGCGUAGAGAUGUGGAGGAAUACCGAUGGCGAAGGCAGCCCCUGGGUUAGUACUGACGCUCAUGCACGAAAGCGUGGGGAGCAAA
Molecule: ribosomal RNA, 444 nt
Filed under: uncultured bacterium
Lineage: Bacteria
Description: bacterial SSU rRNA
Rfam family: Bacterial small subunit ribosomal RNA
Source: RNAcentral